Molecule: long non-coding RNA, 599 nt
Organism: Myotis myotis
Lineage: Eukaryota; Metazoa; Chordata; Mammalia; Chiroptera; Vespertilionidae
Exons: 3
Source: RefSeq, a predicted model, not a curated record
UCCUCAUCGGGUGCAGGCGGCUCAGCCCUGGCAGCAGGCCCAAGCUUGGGCAGCAGCAGGAACCCCCACUCAGCCCUGCCACCUCGGACCUGGGACGGACAGGGAGGGGGCAGGGUCCCAGGUCUGUCUGGCUUGGGCAGGACCACUCAUGUGGUGUGAGGACAGAUGCUGCUCGGCGGGUGCCCUCCACCUGGCAGAACACAGGCAGGAGGCAGGAGGCAGAGCGCUUGAGAGUCUGGACCUUGGAAUCCAGCCGCCGUCGAUGCUCAACGAUGGAGCCACUGCAGCGGGGCAGUACCUGUUAUUGGUGAUUCGUUGAGAAAAUGCCCGAAAACACCACAGAGCCUAACACAGAGCAGCUGCUCAGUCAACGGUCCCUGUCGCUUGCUGUCACCUGGAGAGAGGGACUGACAGGUGGGCCCCACAGCUCCUGGGAAUUCACACACUGGGCGCAGACACCCUGGAGAGAUGGGAGUCAGAGGCCUGGAUUCUAAUUCCAACUUCACCACCAUCUGGCUGCUUAAAGCCAUGUAAGCUCUGAGCCACCUUGGGCCUCAGUUUCUCUGCCUUUAAAAUGGGCACAAAAAUCCUGCCCUUAC